This is a long non-coding RNA of Oncorhynchus tshawytscha (Chinook salmon), 1504 nucleotides long. The record is from Ensembl. Lineage: Eukaryota; Metazoa; Chordata; Actinopteri; Salmoniformes; Salmonidae.
UGAAUAAAUUAUAUUUUAUUAUAAAACAAACAUUUGAUGUUUAUUAGGGUGUACAUUAUAAUAAUGCUGGGUACACCCUUAGAGAUCCUGUGAAGUGACUCAUACUAGGGCACAGCAGGUUGAUAUGUACUGUAUGUCAGAAGAACAUUAGGACUUCUCCGAUUGUGACUUGUCCUUGUUCUCUUGGCUGUCAUUGGUGUCCUUCUUGUCACUCUCAUGACCAUUGGACUCCAGAAUGUCUGUCUCGGGGACUUGCAGUGCUUGGAACUGGGCAGGCUCAGCAGGAAAGUGGAGGGCUGUGGAAGUGUUUCGGCCUCUCCUCCUCCCUAGGCCUUGAGGACUAGGCAGGCUGUGCAGGGAGCUCUUUGACCCCUGUCUGGAGAACUGGAAGGACAGCUGACGUCUCUGUGGCUUACACCAGUCUUUGGGGACGUUCCAGCUCAACUUCUUGGGCCUCGGUUGGGUACAGCUGUUGCCCUGAUUCGUGUUCAGGGCCGGAGCCUCCACAUUGGGGGACAGAUCUACUGGAGUCCCAGGCUUACUUGAGGCCUGCUCAUGCCCUGUCUGUUGGGAGAAGGCCUCUAUAUGAUUCAGGGGUUGUGGAGCCCCAGAUAACGCCCCACACGUCCCUCCAUCUCCCCCAUAACCACUAUCCCCAUGAUCAUCAGAAGAAGCAGGUGGACUUACCACCCACUGAGGCAGGUCUGUGAAGGACGGCGUACGGGGCUCAGUGUCCAGGGAAGAAAGAGUACUGCUAACCUCCCGUAGCGUAUCCAGAGGGUGGUUGGUCGAGAGGGGGUUAUGGGAGUUAAAGAGGUUGGGUCUGGGGAACAGAGAGUGAUCAGGUCCUGGGGAGGCCUGGUCGUCUGAUCCAGGGUAGUCAUGGGAGUCAGGUCUGAAGGGGAAGAAGGCCUCACUGCUGUGACGUUUGAAGGAGGGCCGAGGAGGGACGAGCUCUGGGGGAUCCUGGACGCUGAGAAGCCUACGCACGUGCCCCAGGACUGACGUUUGACGACCAUGACGGAAGUUGUGAUUGCUGUUGUGGCUGUCCUGUCUGUGAAUGUCCGCCUCUCCGAACUGAAAAAUGCCCGAUAGACUGAAAGAUAAGAGGAUAUUACAGUGAAUACUUUAGACUAGAUAGUAUACAGGUUAUGGAUAUUACAGUGAAUACUUUAGUCUAGAUAGUAUACAGGUUAUGGAUAUUACAGUGAAUACUUUAGUCUAGAUAGUAUACAGGUUAUGGAUAUUACAGUGAAUACUUUAGUCUAGAUAGUAUACAGGUUAUGGAUAUUAGUGAAUACGUUAGACUAGAUAGUAUACAGGUUAUGGAUAUUACAGUGAAUACAUUAGUCUAGAUAGUAUAUAGGUUAUGGAUAUUAGUGAAUACAUUAGACUAGAUAGUAUACAGGUUAUGGAUAUUACAGUGAAUACAUUAGACUAGAUAGUAUACAGGUUAUGGAUAUUACAGUGAAUACUUUAGUCUAGAUAGUAUACAGGUUAUGGA